This 480-nucleotide ribosomal RNA is filed under the name uncultured bacterium. RNAcentral's name for it is "bacterial SSU rRNA". It matches the Rfam family "Bacterial small subunit ribosomal RNA", at positions 28 to 507 of the family's 1533-position model. The record is from RNAcentral.
GACGAACGCUGGCGGCGUGCUUAACACAUGCAAGUCGAACGGAGCUUGUUGGAUAGAGACUUCGGUCAAUUGAAUUCAAGCUUAGUGGCGGACGGGUGAGUAACGCGUGAGGAACCUGCCUUUCAGAGGGGGACAACAGUUGGAAACGACUGCUAAUACCGCAUGAUGCAUAGGAGUCGCAUGGCUCUUAUGCCAAAGAUUUAUCGCUGAAAGAUGGCCUCGCGUCUGAUUAGCUAGUUGGUGAGGUAACGGCCCACCAAGGCGACGAUCAGUAGCCGGACUGAGAGGUUGAACGGCCACAUUGGGACUGAGAUACGGCCCAGACUCCUACGGGAGGCAGCAGUGGGGAAUAUUGGGCAAUGGGCGCAAGCCUGACCCAGCAACGCCGCGUGAAGGAAGAAGGCUUUCGGGUUGUAAACUUCUUUUAAGAGGGAAGAGUAGAAGACGGUACCUCUUGAAUAAGCCACGGCUAACUACGUG